UACAGAGGUCUCAAGCGUUGUUCGGAUUCAUUGGGCGUAAAGGGUGCGUAGGCGGCGCGGUAAGUCGGGUGUGAAAUCUUGGAGCUUAACUCCGAAACUGCAUUCGAUACUGCCGUGCUUGAGGACUGGAGAGGAGACUGGAAUUUACGGUGUAGCGGUGAAAUGCGUAGAUAUCGUAAGGAAGACCAGUGGCGAAGGCGGGUCUCUGGACAGUUCCUGACGCUGAGGCACGAAGGCCAGGGAAGCAAACGGG
Molecule: ribosomal RNA, 253 nt
Filed under: uncultured bacterium
Lineage: Bacteria
Description: partial 16S ribosomal RNA
Rfam family: Bacterial small subunit ribosomal RNA
Source: RNAcentral